UAGCAAAAGGCUGGGGCAGUCCAAGAUGGCGGCGGCCAUGGUCCGGUCUGUGCUCUGGGUCUGGAGAAGAACCGACAUCCAGCGAGGCUGCGGACUAAGGCAGCUGGGAAAAUUAACAAAGAGAUGGUUUGUUGUCUCAGAGCCAGAAGCCUCCUGAUUACCCCAGCUUUGUGGAGUCUGCAGAUGAGUACCGGUUUGUGGAGCGCCUCUUACCCCCUACCAACAUCCCACAGCCCCCCAAACAUGAACAUUAUCCCACACCUAGUGGCUGGCAGCCUCCCCGAGACCCCCCACCCAACCUGCCCUAUGUUGUGCGGCGCUCCCGGAUGUACAACAUUCCUGUCUACAGGGACAUCACACAUGGUAACCGCCAGAUGACUGUGAUCCGGAAGGUGGAAGGGGACAUCUGGGCUCUGCAGAAGGAUGUAGAAGAUUUUUUGAGCCCACUGCUGGGGAAGAAACCAGUCACCCAGGUUAAUGAGGUGACAGGUACUCUGCGGGUCAAGGGCUACUUUGAUGAGCAACUUAAAACCUGGCUUCUUGAGAAGGGCUUCUGAGCCCCACUGAGCAACCUGUGUGGCUGGAAGCCAGGGGACCUCAGGAGGAGGGAAUGGGACAUUGGAGCCUUUGGGAACAGGGCUACGGGCUCGGGCUGAUCCCAGUGUGAGGCUGAAAGGCUUUAGGUAAGUCAGGCCUUGAUUGAAUAAGGGAGAAAUCAGACUCCUCCAUACAAGGGUCCACUGGGAGAGAGUUGACCAGCAUGGGAGACCCACCAGGAAAAACCAUUCUCAAGCUAGUUGGGAGGGUAUUAGCUGCUGUCCUUCCACUCAUAGUGGCUUGUUUCUUGGGAUUCCUUGGAUUUAGCUGUUCAGAUUCUAGGGAUUAUCAUCUGGUGGAAGCAGUUGCCCCACCCUGUUUAGGGAGGGUUUACAGAUUAAUCUUUUAGCCUUCCUGGGGUUCACUGAGAUCUUUCCCGGCGCUUGCUGUAGGCCAGACUCCGUCUGGUGGAGGUUGUGGACACAGGGUCCUGAGUAGCAUCUUAAAGUUCCAAAAGCAGUGUUGGAGAAGAGGAAGCACAGAAUGUCAGCCCCUGGAGAGGUCCCUGCUCCAUUCCAGACCAGAGUUGUUUGCCUGACCAGGUUUCCAUUGCCACAAGUUAAAUGAUUUGCUUUGGGCUGGCCUGGCCACAAGGGGGCAUCUUGGUGCUUCUGAGAGCCCAGCCCAAGGCCAUCCUGUCAAGGCUGCUGAACUAGAAUCCAGGCUGGACAGAGGUUUGCAGGUGGGAGGGUGAAGGUGCAGGUCCUUUACACCCUUGCCGGCCAUCCUUCCCGCUCGGCACCAACUAGACUUCACACUUGUUCCACCCUCAGAGCCACAGCCGCCUAAGCCCGGAGUUCCCGCUCCCACUCCUCCAUCUAAGCAGCUAAGGCAGGGUUUGGCUCCUGGCUACCCUACUUAUCUCUAACCUAAGGCAGAGAGCCUUGAAGUUCUCUGGGGCUCAGUUUCUCCAUAUGUAAAGCAGUCAAGUGGACCCACAACAGCAUCCUCCCUCCUG
RNA transcript from Dipodomys ordii (Ord's kangaroo rat), 1555 nucleotides. It is a transcript of the gene named mitochondrial ribosomal protein L49, with no coding region annotated. NCBI's taxonomy places the organism in Eukaryota, Metazoa, Chordata, Mammalia, Rodentia, Heteromyidae. The record is from RefSeq and is a predicted model, not a curated record. The transcript has 4 exons.